RNAcentral lists this ribosomal RNA (254 nucleotides) under uncultured bacterium. RNAcentral's name for it is "partial 16S ribosomal RNA". It matches the Rfam family "Bacterial small subunit ribosomal RNA", at positions 524 to 776 of the family's 1533-position model. The record is from RNAcentral.
UACGUAGGGACCGAGCGUUGUCCGGAUUCAUUGGGCGUAAAGAGCUCGUAGGCGGCUCAGUAAGUCGGGUGUGAAAGCCCCGAGCUCAACUCGGGGAGGCCACCCGAUACUGCUGUGGCUAGAGUCCGGUAGGGGAGCGUGGAAUUCCCGGUGUAGCGGUGAAAUGCGCAGAUAUCGGGAGGAACACCAGCGGCGAAGGCGGCGCUCUGGGCCGGAACUGACGCUGAGGAGCGAAAGCGUGGGGAGCGAACAGG